UACCGCGCGGGAGCGGGGCUGUAGCGUUGGAGGGUGAGCCCGGCGCGCCGCUUGCGUCAUUUUCCUGAGCCGGCCGUGCGGUUAGGCAGCCUCUCGCCCUGGAAGCUUUGCUGGCCUCCGCCCUUUCGGCUUGUUUCCGGAGCAUGGGGCCAGUGUCUUACGGGGACGCAGGGGCGGCCCACCGCCCCCUUCCCCUGCCUCCGACACUUGUCGCCUCGGUAGGCCCCUCCUUGCCGCUCCUGUCGCGAAGCCACUCUUCUUCCGCACGUUCGUCGGGGCCCGGCUCGUGCUCUUCGCUCUCACGUGUUUUAUUGUCCAGCCGGACUAGGGGCACUUGGGCCGCGGUCCUUGGCUGGGCUUCUGGGGGCUGGGACCCCCUUCACACUACCUGCAGGGUGGGCUGUGGGUGCCCCUGUUGAUGGGGGGGGUGGCUUUCAUCAGAUCCCGACGGCGACCCGACGACUCUGACUGCAGCCCGAGCCGAUGGCCGUCGCGUGAGGCGGGGCAGGGCAGCAGGUGGGCAGGCGGGAAACAGCCGAGCAAAGAUCGGGAGCAGAAACCCGAACGCUUCCGGAGCCUUUCUGGGUCUCAGUUGGUCCCUCUGUGAAGUGUGGAGGUUGGACGCCACCCCUGACUCGAGAGAGAGCAAGUGAGCAUAAGCGGGGGAGCUGCAGACAGUGGGAGAGGGAGAAGCAGGCUUCCCGUGGAGUAGGAAACCUGAUGCAGGGCUUGAUCCAAUGACUCCGGAAUCAUGAUCUGAGCUGGAGGCAGACACUAAACCAACUGAGCCAUGCAGGUGCCCCUAAAUACAUACAAUCUUUAAAAAAAGUUAAUAAAGACUAGAGUUUAAUGUCCA
Mustela lutreola (European mink) is the source of this 856-nucleotide long non-coding RNA. RefSeq lists it as uncharacterized. NCBI's taxonomy places the organism in Eukaryota, Metazoa, Chordata, Mammalia, Carnivora, Mustelidae. The record is from RefSeq and is a predicted model, not a curated record. The transcript has 2 exons.